This 468-nucleotide ribosomal RNA is filed under the name uncultured bacterium. RNAcentral's name for it is "partial 16S ribosomal RNA". It matches the Rfam family "Bacterial small subunit ribosomal RNA", at positions 28 to 507 of the family's 1533-position model. The record is from RNAcentral.
GACGAACGCUGGCGGCGUGCUUAACACAUGCAAGUCGAACGGAAAGGCCCUGCUUUUGUGGGGUGCUCGAGUGGCGAACGGGUGAGUAACACGUGAGUAACCUGCCCUUGACUUUGGGAUAACUUCAGGAAACUGGGGCUAAUACCGGAUAGGAGCUCCUGCUGCAUGGUGGGGGUUGGAAAGUUUCGGCGGUUGGGGAUGGACUCGCGGCUUAUCAGCUUGUUGGUGGGGUAGUGGCUUACCAAGGCUUUGACGGGUAGCCGGCCUGAGAGGGUGACCGGCCACAUUGGGACUGCGAGACGGCCCAGACUCCUACGGGAGGCAGCGGUGGGGAAUAUUGCACAGUGGGCGGAAGCCUGAUGCAGCAACGCCGCGUGCGGGAUGACGGCCUUCGGGUUGUAAACCGCUUUCGCCUGUGACGAAGCGUGAGUGACGGUAAUGGGUAAAGAAGCACCGGCUAACUACGUG